GGUUCCACGGUCCCUUACUAGUAAAGGCUCCCACAGCCAGGGGGUUUGACUAGAAGCAGCCACCCUUGAAAGAGUGCGUAAUAGCUCACUGAUCGAGCGCUCUUGCGCCGAAGAGGAACGGGGCUAAGCGAUUUGCCGAA
RNAcentral lists this non-coding RNA (140 nucleotides) under Solanum tuberosum (potato). Its description in RNAcentral is "Bacterial large subunit ribosomal RNA". It matches the Rfam family "Bacterial large subunit ribosomal RNA", at positions 1043 to 1198 of the family's 2925-position model. Lineage: Eukaryota; Viridiplantae; Streptophyta; Magnoliopsida; Solanales; Solanaceae. The record is from Rfam by way of RNAcentral.